Molecule: transfer RNA, 101 nt
Filed under: Corynespora cassiicola Philippines
Lineage: Eukaryota; Fungi; Ascomycota; Dothideomycetes; Pleosporales; Corynesporascaceae
Rfam family: tRNA
About the family: Transfer RNA (tRNA) molecules are approximately 80 nucleotides in length.
Source: Rfam by way of RNAcentral
GGCAAGAUGGCCGAGUGGUUAAGGCGCUGUGUUUAGGUAUUGUCUCAAUACUAUAACGUCCGCAGUGGGAAACCGCGUGGGUUCGAGUCCCACUCUUGUCA